This is a long non-coding RNA of Corapipo altera (White-ruffed manakin), 1048 nucleotides long. RefSeq lists it as uncharacterized. The transcript is spliced from 4 exons. The record is from RefSeq and is a predicted model, not a curated record. NCBI's taxonomy places the organism in Eukaryota, Metazoa, Chordata, Aves, Passeriformes, Pipridae.
UGAUGACAAGGACUGUGGCUUCUUAGUCCUGUCUCUGCAGCCUGCGAAGUUCAGCCCCAAAUCACCCAACAGCUCUUGUGUAGGGAACUGCUUUACGGAGCAACCCCUGGUGCUGGAUUGUUCUCACGGUGAAAAGUCUGGUGUUGGCCCAGCAGAACGAGCUCCCUGCAGAAGAGCAGAAGAGCUGCCCCUUCCCUCCUUCCUGGCAGAGCAAGUGGAUUUGUGGCUGUUCCGUGUGUGCAGCGAAGCUGGCACCGAACCCCUCCUCUGCCGGCAGCCGAGGGGAAGGAGAGCUCGGUAUAACCUUCGGUGUGUUAUUUAUUAUCACUUCGCAGCCCCCUGGAAAAUGAAGUUUGGAGACCCGUGAGCCGAUGCCUCCACGCAGACACAUGUUUUUUGCUACAUCAUUAUUUUGAUACCCGGUGGUUUGUUCUGCUGGUUGUGGGUUGUUUGCCAAGGGCCUUGGAGCAGCAGAGCUCAGGAAUGCAGCCUGUAAGCUGAAGAGUGUCACUGAAACCUGCUUUUUCAGAGCCAAGCACCACAGGUGAAAUCAUUGUGACCAGCAGAUUGAGGCUGGUUCCUCUGAGGAGAAAAAAACAGAGCAAGGGCCUGGAGGAGUUGUCAGCUGAGUGGGCUCUGCAGUGAAGCAGGAACACCUCACCACGGAGGCCCUGUUGGAACCAGAACUGUCCAUGACCCAGGAAUGAUGGCAAGGGAAGGGGUAUUUCACUGGGAACAGCCCACAGUGAGAUGCAGAGGGACACAGAGAACUUCACCCCUGGCUUGUGCAAAGUGUCUAAAAGUUACUGAGUUUCCUUUUUUCCAGUUUCUUCUGGGACUUUAGGAAGUGAUGACAUUCCCUUCCUGGAGAGGCAGCAAGUGCACAGGUGAGUUAUCUCUGGGCAGGGGAAUCAGACCUGAUUGCACAGUCACUGGGCAGGGGAGGUUCCAGCAAUGACAGUGGUGACAUGUUCCCUGGAUUUGUACACCUUGGCAGGAGCAGGGGAUUGAGCACAGUGUGCCAGGGGGAGAGGACAGGAGGAGAGGG